RNAcentral lists this ribosomal RNA (468 nucleotides) under uncultured bacterium. Its description in RNAcentral is "partial 16S ribosomal RNA". It matches the Rfam family "Bacterial small subunit ribosomal RNA", at positions 28 to 507 of the family's 1533-position model. The record is from RNAcentral.
GACGAACGCUGGCGGCGUGCUUAACACAUGCAAGUCGAACGGAAAGGCCCUGCUUUUGUGGGGUGCUCGAGUGGCGAACGGGUGAGUAACACGUGAGUAACCUGCCCUUGACUUUGGGAUAACUUCAGGAAACUGGGGCUAAUACCGGAUAGGAGCUCCUGCUGCAUGGUGGGGGUUGGAAAGUUUCGGCGGUUGGGGAUGGGCUCGCGGCUUAUCAGCUUGUUGGUGGGGUAGUGGCUUACCAAGGCUUCGACGGGUAGCCGGCCUGAGAGGGUGACCGGGCACAUUGGGACUGAGAUACGGACCAGACUCCUACGGGAGGCAGCAGUGGGGAAUAUUGCACAAUGGGCGGAAGCCUGAUGCAGCAACGCCGCGUGCGGGAUGACGGCCUUCGGGUUGUAAACCGCUUUCGCCUGUGACGAAGCGUGAGUGACGGUAAUGGGUAAAGAAGCACCGGCUAACUACGUG